This 530-nucleotide ribosomal RNA is filed under the name Wadicosa fidelis. RNAcentral's name for it is "partial 28S ribosomal RNA". The record is from RNAcentral. Lineage: Eukaryota; Metazoa; Arthropoda; Arachnida; Araneae; Lycosidae.
AGCUGGUCGGAAUUUGGUAGGGCUUCCCAAGCACGGGGCCGUCCGACUGCAGCUUCGGUCAGGACAGACGCAAUUGACUCCCUCACCGAGGACGCCGCAGCCCGCGGGGAAGUGCAAACGUGACGGCCUUGAGGGCGGGAGAUGGCAGGUGGCCGGUGGCGGGCUUCGGCCCGUCGCCGGUUGUUAGCCGUCCCGUCGGUGGCCCGUCUCCCCGCGGAGGUAUCGUGACGCCUUACUGGGCGUUCGACGUCUCCUCCUCCAUGGAAAGCCCGGACGUAUAGCGGCGAGCGAAGGCAACCGCGCGGCCGCACCCUUUCGGGGUGGGCCACCGUACGGUCGGCGCCGGCGGCUGCUGAGGACCGGUUGGAGGCUGGAGGCUAGCGGCGAGUAGGUCGGUCACCCACCCGACACGUCUUGAAACACGGACCAAGGAGUCUAACAUGUGCGCGAGUCAAUGGGUCUUGAACAGGCCCAGAGGCGCAAUGAAAGUAAAGGUCGGCACCAGUCGACCCAGCCGGGAUCCAGGCUAU